This 73-nucleotide transfer RNA is filed under the name Camelus dromedarius (Arabian camel). It matches the Rfam family "tRNA". Rfam says of the family: Transfer RNA (tRNA) molecules are approximately 80 nucleotides in length. Their secondary structure includes four short double-helical elements and three loops (D, anti-codon, and T loops). RNAcentral also lists the same sequence under 1 other name. Lineage: Eukaryota; Metazoa; Chordata; Mammalia; Artiodactyla; Camelidae. The record is from Rfam by way of RNAcentral.
GAGGGUAUAGCUCACUGGUAGAGCACAUGCCUAGCAUGUGCGAGCUCCUGGGUUCAAUUCCCCAGUACCUCCA